This is a long non-coding RNA of Alosa alosa (allis shad), 139 nucleotides long. RefSeq lists it as uncharacterized. The transcript has 3 exons. The record is from RefSeq and is a predicted model, not a curated record. Lineage: Eukaryota; Metazoa; Chordata; Actinopteri; Clupeiformes; Clupeidae.
CGCCUGCCUCUAAACACAAGCACAGAGGGGAGAGCUUCAGGUGGAUGCUGCAUACCUGCUUCAUAACUACAUCAGGUCAUGUGGUCUCUACUGUUAUCAGUUCAGCUCCUGGCUCUGUGGCCUGGAGCAGAGGGGACAA